UUUUAUUGCUUAAGGUAGAUCAUAAGUAAAUCUUUUUUGAGACAGAAUUUUCUUAUACUUAGCCAGAAUGAAGAUUUUAAUAUGCUCUUUUCAAAAAUAUAAUAAAAAGUAGGGGUCACCGUGCUAUUUUUCAAGCUAUGAGUCGUUGAAAAUUGCCUAAAUUUGGUUAGAUUGUUAAUGGAAAAACACAAUUGUGUGCAUAAAAAAUAAUCUAUGAGAUAGAAUUUUGAAAUAAAUUGUGAAAAGAUAGGUUUUGUAAUAUGUUUUAAGAAAAUAAAAAGAAAAA
This 286-nucleotide long non-coding RNA is filed under the name Mytilus galloprovincialis (Mediterranean mussel). Lineage: Eukaryota; Metazoa; Mollusca; Bivalvia; Mytilida; Mytilidae. The record is from RNAcentral.